GAUGAACGCUGGCGGCGUGCCUAAUACAUGCAAGUCGAGCGAACAGACGAGGAGCUUGCUCCUCUGACGUUAGCGGCGGACGGGUGAGUAACACGUGGAUAACCUACCUAUAAGACUGGGAUAACUUCGGGAAACCGGAGCUAAUACCGGAUAAUAUAUUGAACCGCAUGGUUCAAUAGUGAAAGACGGUUUUGCUGUCACUUAUAGAUGGAUCCGCGCCGCAUUAGCUAGUUGGUAAGGUAACGGCUUACCAAGGCAACGAUGCGUAGCCGACCUGAGAGGGUGAUCGGCCAAACUGGAACUGAGACACGGUCCAGACUCCUACGGGAGGCAGCAGUAGGGAAUCUUCCGCAAAGGGCGAAAGCCUGACGGAGCAACGCCGCGUGAGUGAUGAAGGUCUUCGGAUCGUAAAACUCUGUUAUUAGGGAAGAACAAAUGUGUAAGUAACUAUGCACGUCUUGACGGUACCUAAUCAGAAAGCCACGGCUAACUACGUG
This 497-nucleotide ribosomal RNA is filed under the name uncultured bacterium. RNAcentral describes it as "partial 16S ribosomal RNA". It matches the Rfam family "Bacterial small subunit ribosomal RNA", at positions 28 to 507 of the family's 1533-position model. The record is from RNAcentral.